This is a long non-coding RNA of Rhagoletis pomonella (apple maggot), 279 nucleotides long. RefSeq lists it as uncharacterized. The record is from RefSeq and is a predicted model, not a curated record. NCBI's taxonomy places the organism in Eukaryota, Metazoa, Arthropoda, Insecta, Diptera, Tephritidae. The transcript is spliced from 3 exons.
AGUUUUUCUUCGAACAUCUUGCACUAAAGCUUCCGAUAUACCAACCAACACACAAGAAUCGGAUAAUACAGCAGCCGGAACGAUAAAAAAUUGAAUAUUACGCCUUAUAAACACGGGUGGAAGUGGCACAGGCAAAUGAAACUUUAUGAAAACCAACGAAUCUGGUGGCCGGAACGAUAAAAAGCAAGAACGCGAUAAAAACUGCACACAAGCAAAAUCGACGCGAAAAAUUGAAAUGUCAAGAGUUGUCAAAAGCCUACAGCGCGCUGUCAAAUAGAG